CAUCAUGAACUUUCCAGUGUGCUUCUUAGAACAGAGCACGCAGUUUCUUUGUGGUCCUGGCACGGAUAUUCUUGAGCCAACGCUGGCUUUUGUCCAUGACCAACGUUCUGCUCCAUCCUUAUCUUCCCGACGUAAGCUCAUCCAGCUUCUGCUUCAUCCUUCGUA
Molecule: long non-coding RNA, 165 nt
Organism: Daphnia pulex (common water flea)
Lineage: Eukaryota; Metazoa; Arthropoda; Branchiopoda; Diplostraca; Daphniidae
Exons: 2
Source: RefSeq, a predicted model, not a curated record